RNAcentral lists this long non-coding RNA (257 nucleotides) under Elaeis guineensis (African oil palm). RNAcentral's name for it is "long non-coding RNA (EGUI_LNC071854)". Lineage: Eukaryota; Viridiplantae; Streptophyta; Magnoliopsida; Arecales; Arecaceae. The record is from RNAcentral.
GUGCGGCGUCUUUCUGAACUCUCCUAGCCAUCCGAGCUUCCACAGUACCAUCCAAACUCCUCUAGUAGUCGACCUUCCACAGUGUCCUCCAGAUUCCUCCAACGGACGAACUCCUAUCAUAUCCUUCAGACUUUUCCAAUAAUGAGCUCCUUCAAUCAUCUAUCGGACUACUCCAAAUGCUCUCUGGGCUUCACUAUCAGUCGAUUUUCUACAAGUGAUCGACUACUCUCUGAAUCUCUUUCAGUCUUCCUCCUGUC